AGAGUUUGAUCCUGGCUCAGAACGAACGCUGGCGGCAUGCCUAACACAUGCAAGUCGAACGAGAAAGCUCCCUUCGGGGAGCCGGUAAAGUGGCGCACGGGUGAGUAACGCGUGGGUAACCCACCUUCGAAUCUGGGAUAACUCCGCGAAAGCGGUGCUAAUACCGGAUAAGACCACAGCCGUUUCGGCGGCAGAGGUAAAAGCUGACCUCUCCAUGGAAGUUAGCGUUCGAGGACGGGCCCGCGUCCUAUCAGCUUGUUGGUGGGGUAAAGGCCUACCAAGGCAGCGACGGGUAGCUGGUCUGAGAGGAUGAUCAGCCACACUGGAACUGGAACACGGUCCAGACUCCUACGGGAGGCAGCAGUGAGGAAUUUUGCGCAAUGGGGGAAACCCUGACGCAGCAACGCCGCGUGGGUGAAGAAGGCUUUCGGGUCGUAAAGCCCUGUCAGGUGGGAAGAACCGUUUCGAUACUAAUAAUGUCGAAGCCUGACGUACCACCAGAGAAGCACCGCCAACU
This 517-nucleotide ribosomal RNA is filed under the name uncultured bacterium. RNAcentral describes it as "bacterial SSU rRNA". It matches the Rfam family "Bacterial small subunit ribosomal RNA", at positions 8 to 502 of the family's 1533-position model. The record is from RNAcentral.